GUUCCGCCUCCCGAGCGACGGGGAACUGUUGCACUUUACAGUACUAUAUGGUUUUGUGCGCAGACUUCCUGCGCAGACCAAUUUGUUACAAGCUCGAAUCACACACAAAUCUGGGGGCAUACACAUAUAUCUGUCUGCAGGUAAACACGUUGUUUACAGCCACCUAGCUAUAUAACACUAAUUUAAGCUAGGGAGCUUUCGCUGGCUGAAAAAUCGACUUUUAUUGGAGCUUAAACCUAUAGAGCCUCGUACUAUGACGCGCUAAUCGGUGACCGUAUUAUUGAGUGCCAAAUUCUCGACUUAUUUCCAAUGUCUACGCGACUCUGCUAGCCCUAGUAUUGAGAAAAAUCAAUAGGAAGUAAAUAAAAAUGUUGCAUGCCUGAAACUCGCUUGGCGGAUACUCUGAAACUACGUACAUAUAAUCAGUUUUUCUAUCGGGAACCGAGGUAUCCAAGAUGUACGGAAUCACUCAAUCAACUGUAAACAAUCAACGCUUUCGAGUUCGUGAUAUGGAUAACGAGCAGAUCAUGUCCACUUUUGGGAACAUAGGUCACCUAUUGAACAUUGCCGUGGAGCGAUUUAUAACGAUUGGCGAGAUCAUCGCCGAGGAGAACAUUGACAUCAAGGGAGACAUGUACGAGGCGGCGAAGGAGGCCAGAGAUGCGGGAAAAUCUAUUGAACGACUUUGUGAUAUUUCACCUCUAAGCGGCAUGGAGCUGCGCCACCACAUCGAGCCCCUGAAGGACUAUGGAGCCAUCAUAUUGGCGGCCCGCUCGCUGCUGUCCUCCGUCACGCGCAUCCUACUCCUGGUUGACAUCAUAGUUGUGAAGAAGCUGCUGACCGCCAAGAAGCGGGCCUCCGAGAGCCUGGAGAAGCUGGAGUCGGUCAUGAACUUCACCGAGUUCGUGCGGGCAUUCUCCGUGUUCGGAACUGAAAUGAUUGAGCUGGCCUACCUCACUGGCCACCACCGCAACUCGUUCAAGGAGGAACGGCGGCGGGCCCAGAUGUUUUCAGCCCGCCAGAUCCUGGAGAAGUCCAUCGCCAUCCUGCUGACGUCCUCGAAGAACAGUCUGAUCCACAGCGAUUGCGUGAUCGUGAAGGAGAACCGGGACACGGUCUUCUGCCAGAUCCGCAGGGCCAUGGACCUCAUCCACUUCGUGGUGAAGGACAGCAUCUUCGACUCGGCCAAGCACAUGCCCUUCGAGAAGCAGGCCAGCAACCCGAACUACGAGAACGAGAGCAUCUACACGACAAUAAAGCGCAUUGUGAAUCUCAUCAAGCGGUACAAGUACCAGAUGAGCUACUACGAGGGCUCCGGCGAGGGCAACAACAACUCCGACGCCUACUUCAGUUUCCUGGACGACGACCUGUGGAAGUCGGAGAAGAACCUGCCCUCCGCGGCGGGCGGCGGGCGCAUGGUGAACAACACCAACUUCAGGAAGCACCUCAGCUCCGAAAGCCUGGACCUGCGCGAGGAGCUCUCCCUCGCCUUCGAGAAGCUCUUCGAGAAGGCGCACGACUUCACCGACUCCCCCUACAUCAGCCACAACCACCGCAAGAACAUCCUGUCCUACUGCGACAACUGUAAGCUGGAGUUCGACCUGUACCUGAACACCAUCAUGAAGGAUCAGCACGAGGGCGGCGGAGUCGGCGGAGUUGGUGGAGUGGGUGGUGUGGGCGGAGUGGGAGGCCAGGUGAAGGGUCGCUCAGAUCCCGAGCUGGGGAUGCUCAGCAGCCUGGAGGAGCUGUGCAAGCAGCUGGUCGUCUCCGUGUCCAGCCAGAUCGAGGACUUUAACGAGUCGCUCAAGAUCUGCUCCAAGCUGGUCAAGUCGUUCCACGUACUGGCAACGAACUACGACAUCGACAAUCUGAACCAGCGCUCCACGAAGUUCCACGACUGCUGCGACCACAUCUUCGACAUCUGCAAGCUGCUCCAGCACAUUGCGCCCACGGAGCGGCUGCAGGUGCAGGCCAAGUGCCUGGCGAUUAACCUGAGGAUCUACGGGCCGCAGGUCUUCAUCGCGGCCAAGAUCCUGUGGAAGUACUCCAACAGCAGUGCGGCCAACGAGAACUUUGAGUCCUUCUCGGACAUGUGGAAGUGGCUGACGAACGAGAUCUCCAUGAUCGCCAAGAAGAUCCUCGUUUCAAUCAACACCACUAAGAGUGACAGAGAAGCUGAUGCUGAGAAAUGCGAGAGCUCAGACAAACUAACAAAAUCCGGUGUACCUGCAACAGAAGACGGAGAAAUGGUUGAGUAUUCUGGCCUCGAAGGCAAGAACAACGGAGAUCUGAACACAUAUCAAUCAAAAUGGAGCGAAGACUUGUCGGACGACAACGACAUACUGAAGAGAGCCAAGAACAUGUCCGCGAUGGCUUUCCUAAUGUAUCAGUUUACCAAGGGCAACGGUUCUCUAAGAACAACUCAGGAUUUGUUUACUCAAGCCGAAUAUUUUGCGGAGGAGGCCAACCGACUUUACAAAGUCCUCCGCCACUUUUCAUACCAGGUUCCCGCUAGUGACAACAAAAAGGAUCUCCUCAACAUUUUAGAUAGAGUGCCGACUUUUGUCCAAGCACUCCAGUUUACAGUCAAAGACCACACGGUGGGCAAAGCUGCCACGUUCGUGAAGGUCGAUCACGUCAUCAGGGAAACCAAGAACCUUAUGAACGUUAUAAAUAAAGUAGUGUCGAAGUGCUUUGAGUGCGCAACUAAGGUAAAUAGGCCCAGGCCAGGCCACGCGGCCAUUUCCUAUUUGUAGUGGGUACUACAGAUUCUCGAUGUGUAUGAUUUCUAUAGUUUACUGUGAUAUUAAAGCAUGCAUUAUUACAGGUAUGAUUUAAGAGCUUUUCGUUCGCAGGAGCAGCGUUUUGGUUUUUGAGGAUGUUCUUUCCCCGUUUCAUGCUCCGAGCCUUAUUAGUUACCUUUCUAUCUUUUGCUUUCAAACUAUGCUAAUGUAGCCUGCGCUGUAUCUUUCUGUAUUACAUCCCCUAGCUGACCAGAUCCCCCAAAGUGGUUAACCCACCCAUUGAUUUCGGGCACUCGUACGGUGCAGUACCAGCUCCUACUAACUCCACCCUAAUCCUUGCUCCGCCUUGCAGUACAAACUAAAUUUAACUGGGAUAACCGGAGGACUCACAUC
Molecule: RNA transcript, 3137 nt
Organism: Drosophila erecta
Lineage: Eukaryota; Metazoa; Arthropoda; Insecta; Diptera; Drosophilidae
Gene: alpha-Catr
Gene name: alpha-catulin
Exons: 6
Source: RefSeq, a predicted model, not a curated record